This is a long non-coding RNA of Chlorocebus sabaeus (green monkey), 282 nucleotides long. RefSeq lists it as uncharacterized. Lineage: Eukaryota; Metazoa; Chordata; Mammalia; Primates; Cercopithecidae. The record is from RefSeq and is a predicted model, not a curated record.
UCUGCGCGUUCAGAAAGCUGGAUUUCGGGGAUGCUCAGUUCAGAAGAGAAAUUUGCUGGGAAUCAAGUCCUUCUUUUUGUUAGUCGGUAGUCGAUGAUGGGAGGUGUUCAAAAUCAUUUGAUGUGGUGACAAGGAAAUCUCACAUUCAGAGGAUACCUCAUCAGCAUCAUCUGCUCAGAUGUCCUCUUGCUCAGCACUUGCAACAUUAGUGAAAUAACACAUUGGAUCUUGCUCUGUCACCCAGGCUGGAGUACAGCUGCACCAUCACUGCUCACUGUAGCC